RNAcentral lists this long non-coding RNA (741 nucleotides) under Populus tremula. Its description in RNAcentral is "long non-coding RNA (PTRE_LNC002941)". Lineage: Eukaryota; Viridiplantae; Streptophyta; Magnoliopsida; Malpighiales; Salicaceae. The record is from RNAcentral.
CCAUAAAACGCAAGAAAGAGACAACACUCAGGUGUAAAGGACCCACAAACUUAACCUUUCCUUUUUGUAUUUUCUCGAGAAAUUUCUCUCUCCUUACCCCUUGUCUCUCUCCCUCUCUACACGCUCCCCUCUCUCACCGGCUUUAAUUUGAAAAUUCUCUCUUCAUUUCCAUCUCUGUAUAUUUAGGCGCAUUCCGUGCAUUUAUUGCCUUUUAUCUUUCAAUAGAGGGUUUCCCCUCCCUUAUCUCUGUAUCUCUUUUAAAGGGCUACUCGGAUCUUGAAUGGUCUCUUUAGUGGGGUUUCGAUUGCAACCAAACUGUGCCAAGGUAACAUCUUUUUUGUAAGUUAAUCUAGUUUUUGAGCAUGUUUUUCGAUUUCCUAUCUGGGUUUUGAUUUUUUGUUGAUUGAUUUGGUUUUUUUAGUAUUUCGAGUCACAAAGUCUGCUUCUUUUUUGAUGUCAAAUCUCUUUUUGGAAUAUUCUAGAUCUGUUUUUUUCCUUUAGAUUUGCAUGUGUGCGUGCUUUUUUUUCGUUUUUUUUGGCAUUUGAUGAUUCUUCCUUUUGUUUUAUUUGAUCUACUUAGUGGUUAUGAUGUGUCUUGAGGAAAUGUAUACUGUAUAUCUCUCAUGUCAAGUACAGUUUUUGCUUGAGUGGAUAUUGUUAUUCAGUCUCCUUUUAUAGUUCUCUACUUGGCAAGUUUUUACUGGAAAUGAUCUUGCAGUGGUGAUUUUUUUUUGUCCGGUG